AGAGUUUGAUCAUGGCUCAGAACGUACGCUGGCGGCACGCCUAACACAUGCAAGUCGAACGAAGUAGCAAUACUUAGUGGCAGACGGGUGAGUAACAUGUAGGUAUCUGCCCUUUGGCCUGGAAUAACACGAGGAAACUUGUGCUAAUACCGGAUAAGUCUUUACGGAGAAAGCUUUAUGCACCAUUGGAUGAGCCUGCACUUGAUUAGUUUGUUGGUGGGGUAAUGGCCUACCAAGACUGUGAUCAAUAGCUGAUUUGAGAGGAUGAUCAGCCACAUUGGGACUGAGACACGGCCCAAACUCCUACGGGAGGCAGCAGUGGGGAAUCUUGCACAAUGGAGGAAACUCUGAUGCAGCGAUGCCGCGUGAGUGAAGAAGGCCCUUGGGUUGUAAAGCUCUUUCGUCGGGGAAGAAAAUGACUGUACCCGAAUAAGAAGGUCCGGCUAACUUCGUGCCAGCAGCCGCGGUAAUACGAAGGGACCUAGCGUAGUUCGGAAUUACUGGGCUUAAAGAGUUCGUAGGUGGUUGAAAAAGUUAGUGGUGAAAUCCCAGAGCUUAACUCUGGAACUGCCAUUAAAACUUUUCAGCUAGAGUAUGAUAGAGGAAAGCAGAAUUUCUAGUGUAGAGGUGAAAUUCGUAGAUAUUAGAAAGAAUACCAAUUGCGAAGGCAGCUUUCUGGAUCAUUACUGACACUGAGGAACGAAAGCAUGGGUAGCGAAGAGGAUUAGAUACCCUCGUAGUCCAUGCCGUAAACGAUGUGUGUUAGACGUUGGAAAUUUAUUUUCAGUGUCGCAGGGAAACCGAUAAACACACCGCCUGGGGAGUACGACCGCAAGGUUAAAACUCAAAUGAAUUGACGGGGACCCGCACAAGUAGUGGAGCAUGUGGUUUAAUUCGAAGAUACGCGCAGAACCUUACCAACACUUGACAUGUUCGUCGCGACUCUAAGAGAUUAGAGUUUUCGGUUCGGCCGGACGAAACACAGGUGCUGCAUGGCUGUCGUCAGCUCGUGUCGUGAGAUGUUGGGUUAAGUCCCGCAACGAGCGCAACCCUCACUUUUAGUUGCCAUCAUUAAGUUGGGCACUCUGAAAGAACUGCCAGUGAUAAGCUGGAGGAAGGUGGGGAUGACGUCAAGUCCUCAUGGCCCUUACGUGUUGGGCUACACACGUGCUACAAUGGUAUCUACAACAGGAAGCAAGACUGCGAAGUUAAGCAAAUCCCUAAAAGAUACCUCAGUUCGGAUUGCACUCUGCAACUCGAGUGCAUGAAGCUGGAAUUACUAGUAAUCGUGGAUCAGCGUGCCACGGUGAAUGCGUUCCCGGGUCUUGUACACACCGCCCGUCACACCAUGGGAGUUGGUUCUACCUUAAGGCAAGGUUUCAAACCCUUGACCACGGUAUAGUCAGCGACUGGGGGGAAGUCGUAACAAGGUA
Molecule: ribosomal RNA, 1433 nt
Filed under: uncultured Alphaproteobacteria bacterium
Lineage: Bacteria; Pseudomonadati; Pseudomonadota; Alphaproteobacteria
Description: uncultured alpha proteobacterium 16S ribosomal RNA
Rfam family: Bacterial small subunit ribosomal RNA
Source: RNAcentral